Molecule: non-coding RNA, 96 nt
Organism: Podarcis lilfordi (Lilford's wall lizard)
Lineage: Eukaryota; Metazoa; Chordata; Lepidosauria; Squamata; Lacertidae
Source: the annotation of a GenBank genome assembly
UUCCCAGCUGUUGCUGGACUACAACUCCCAUCAUCCCUGACCACUGGUCCUGCUAGCUAGGGAUGAUGGGAGUUGCAGUCCAACAACAGCUGGGGA